This is a non-coding RNA of Caenorhabditis elegans, 141 nucleotides long. The record is from Ensembl. Lineage: Eukaryota; Metazoa; Nematoda; Chromadorea; Rhabditida; Rhabditidae.
AUAUUUGAAUUUGGCGCUCUCGGUGGCUUGGCUGCUACGCAACAUGUCGUCCGGUCUGUUCGCUCUCAUGAGUGGAGCGGUGUCAGCAAUAGGCAACCAACAAUCGACAUCUCUCAUCCAUUACUCUCUCCCCAACUACGC